RNAcentral lists this long non-coding RNA (247 nucleotides) under Mus pahari (shrew mouse). RNAcentral describes it as "lncRNA (MGP_PahariEiJ_G0003727.1)". Lineage: Eukaryota; Metazoa; Chordata; Mammalia; Rodentia; Muridae. The record is from RNAcentral.
CAGUUUGGGAGCAGCUGUUGACUCCAUUAUACAUCAAAACUCUCUCCUCAGACAACUGUAAUUUGACCUUAGAUGGUCACUUCAGCAAACUCUCCAUGGAGAUAUUCAUUGACUAUAGGGAGAAGUCAAGCCUGAGUCUAAGAACAGCCUAGAUGGAACAUCCCAUGAGAAGCAGCAGAGUUUCCUGUACAGUUCAGUCAAAGGCCAGUUCUGUUCUGUAAGUCCUUCUGUAAACAUCUUGAAUUCA